GUGUGUAGCUCAGUUGGAUAGAGCAGCGCCCUUCUAAGGCGAAGGUCGGGGGUUCGAAUCCCUCCACGCG
Molecule: transfer RNA, 70 nt
Filed under: human gut metagenome
Also listed under: 1 other name
Rfam family: tRNA
About the family: Transfer RNA (tRNA) molecules are approximately 80 nucleotides in length. Their secondary structure includes four short double-helical elements and three loops (D, anti-codon, and T loops).
Source: RNAcentral